Molecule: ribosomal RNA, 484 nt
Filed under: uncultured bacterium
Lineage: Bacteria
Description: partial 16S ribosomal RNA
Rfam family: Bacterial small subunit ribosomal RNA
Source: RNAcentral
AUUGAACGCUGGCGGCAGGCCUAACACAUGCAAGUCGAGCGGAUGAAGGGAGCUUGCUCCUGGAUUCAGCGGCGGACGGGUGAGUAAUGCCUAGGAAUCUGCCUGGUAGUGGGGGAUAACGUCCGGAAACGGGCGCUAAUACCGUAUACGUCCUGAGGGAGAAAGUGGGGGAUCUUCGGACCUCACGCUAUCAGAUGAGCCUAGGUCGGAUUAGUUAGUUGGUGGGGUAAAGGCCUACCAAGGCGACGAUCCGUAACUGGUCUGAGAGGAUGAUCAGUCACACUGGAACUGAGACACGGUCCAGACUCCUACGGGGGGCAGCAGUGGGGAAUAUUGGACAAUGGGCGAAAGCCUGAUCCAGCCAUGCCGCGUGUGUGAAGAAGGUCUUCGGAUUGUAAAGCACUUUAAGUUGGGAGGAAGGGCAGUAAGUUAAUACCUUGCUGUUUUGACGUUACCAACAGAAUAAGCACCGGCUAACUUCGUG